GUACACUCCUGCGGGAGGCAGCAGUGGGGAAUAUUGCACAAUGGGCGCAAGCCUGAUGCAGCCAUGCCGCGUGUAUGAAGAAGGCCUUCGGGUUGUAAAGUACUUUCAGCGGGGAGGAAGGCGAUAAGGUUAAUAACCUUGUUGAUUGACGUUACCCGCAGAAGAAGCACCGGCUAACUCCGUGCCAGCAGCCGCGGUAAUACGGAGGGUGCAAGCGUUAAUCGGAAUUACUGGGCGUAAAGCGCACGCAGGCGGUCUGUCAAGUCGGAUGUGAAAUCCCCGGGCUCAACCUGGGAACUGCAUUCGAAACUGGCAGGCUAGAGUCUUGUAGAGGGGGGUAGAAUUCCAGGUGUAGCGGUGAAAUGCGUAGAGAUCUGGAGGAAUACCGGUGGCGAAGGCGGCCCCCUGGACAAAGACUGACGCUCAGGUGCGAAAGCGUGGGGAGCAAACAGGAUUAGAAACCCUUGUAGUCCCAUGA
This 478-nucleotide ribosomal RNA is filed under the name uncultured organism. RNAcentral describes it as "partial 16S ribosomal RNA". It matches the Rfam family "Bacterial small subunit ribosomal RNA", at positions 331 to 800 of the family's 1533-position model. The record is from RNAcentral.